Molecule: small nucleolar RNA, 81 nt
Organism: Trichechus manatus latirostris (Florida manatee)
Lineage: Eukaryota; Metazoa; Chordata; Mammalia; Sirenia; Trichechidae
Product: small nucleolar RNA SNORD115
Exons: 1
Source: RefSeq, a predicted model, not a curated record
CGGUCACUAAUGACACCUAAAGUUUUCUUGAAGACAGAUGAUGACAUAAAAAUUAUGCGCAAUAGGAUUAUGCUCAGGCCC